AUGUCGGGGUGCCUGUGGCCGUGCGUGUCCAGCGCCAAUGCCAUGACGGGGGGGAUGGGCGGGGGGUUGUUCGGGCCCAAGGCCAGGAGCCCGGCGGAGCUGGUGCGACACACGCGCGACCUCCUCCGUUUCAUCGCCGACCAUCCGGAACCCUGCAGCGGCAAACUAGAAGCCAAGCGCGAACAAAAGAUUACAGAUCUAAGCAUAAGUGUUAGGGCAAUGAAAUCCAUUCUCUAUGGAGAUGGCGACGGUGAUCCUGUUGCCGAAGCAUGUACGCAAUUGACAAGGGAGUUUUUCAAGGAUAAUACUUUACGUCUAGUAAUUGUUUGCGUUCCACAUAUGGACCUGGAAACUCAAAAGGAAGUAACUCUAGUUUUUGCAAAUCUGGCAAGACAAAAGGUAGAUUCAAGGAUCCCUGCCUCUGACUACUUGGAAGUUAACCAAGAUCUUUUGGAUAUAUUAAUGGCUGGGUUUAAUAACAGGGACAUUGCGAUACAUUAUAGUACAAUAUUGAGGGAUUGCGUACGCCACCAAGUUGCUGCACGGUAUGUAUUAUAUUCUCAGCAUAUGAAGAAAUUCUUUGAUUAUAUCCAGUUUCCUGACUUCAGUCCAUCAUCAGAAGCCUUCAAGACAUUUAAGGAACUCCUGACAAGGCAUAAAUCAUCAGCAGCUGAAUUCUUCACGAAGAACUAUGAUUGGUUCUUUUCAGAUUUUCACACGAAAUUGCUACAUUCUUCCAACUAUGUCACCAAAAGGCAGUCUAUUCAGCUAUUGGGAGAUAUUCUAUUGGAGAGAACAAAUUCAUCAGUGAUGCUGCGUUACGUCAGCUCAAAGGAAAACCUCAUAGUUCUAAUGAACCUUUUAAGGGAUCCAAGCCAACCUAUACAAGUGGAGGCAUUUCAUAUUUUCAAGCUGUUCACUGCAAAUAAAAAUAAGCCUCGUGACAUCAUCAGCAUACUGGUGGCAAACAAGAGCAAAAUCAUCAGGUUCCUCAACGCCUUCACUCUGGAAAAAGGGGUUUCUCUGGCGCUGAUCGAUGCAGAGGAUAGGGUGUUCGAGUCGGACAAGGCCCAAGUACUCGUCGACAUCACGGCCUUGAAGCUGUAG
Molecule: ribosomal RNA, 1107 nt
Filed under: Triticum aestivum (bread wheat)
Lineage: Eukaryota; Viridiplantae; Streptophyta; Magnoliopsida; Poales; Poaceae
Description: partial small subunit ribosomal RNA
Source: RNAcentral